AGAAUUUGAUCUUGGUUCAGAUUGAACGCUGACGGCGUGGAUGAGACAUGCAAGUCGAACGCAAAUUGGAGCAAUCCGAUUUGAGUGGCGAAAGGGUUAGUAAGGCAUGAGUAAUCUAUCAACAACCUGGGGAUAACGAUUGGAAACGAUCGCUAAUACCGAAUGUGAUGACCUGCUGAUUGUAGGUAUAUUAAAGUGGGGGAUCCUGAGAGGGACCUUGCGGUUGAAGAGGGGCUCAUGUAGUAUCAGCUAGUUGGUAGGGUAACGGCCUACCAAGGCUACGACGCUUAGGCGGAUUGAGAGAUUGACCGCCAACACUGGGACUGAGACACUGCCCAGACUCCUACGGGAGGCAGCAGUCGAGAAUAUUUCGCAAUGGGCGAAAGCCUGACGAAGCGACGCCGUGUGAACGAAGAAGGCCUUCGGGUUGUAAAGUUCUGUCGUCUAGGAACAAGAAUCGCUAAAUAAUAUGUGGCGGUUUUGAGAGUAUUAGAAAAGGAAGCACCGGCUAACUCCGUGCCAGCAGCUGCGGUAAUACGGAGGGUGCAAGCGUUAAUCGGAAUUAUUGGGCGUAAAGGGUGCGUAGGCUGGGAUGUAAGUCAGAUGUGAAAUUUCGGGGCUCAACCUCGAAGCUGCAUUUGAAACUACAUUUCUAGAGGGAAAGCGGAGAAAACGGAAUUCCACGUGUAGCGGUGAAAUGCGUAGAUAUGUGGAAGAACACCUGUGGCGAAAGCGGUUUUCUAGCUUUAUCCAGACGCUGAGGCACGAAAGCAAGGGGAGCAAACAGGAUUAGAUACCCUGGUAGUCCUUGCCCUAAACGAUGCAUACUUGGUGUAGUUGGUCUCAACCCCAGCUGUGCCGAAGCUAACGCGAUAAGUAUGCCGCCUGAGGAGUACGCCCGCAAGGGUGAAACUCAAAAGAAUUGACGGGGACCCGCACAAGCAGUGGAGCAUGUGGUUUAAUUCGAUGCAACGCGAAGAACCUUACCUGGAUUUGACAUGUAGUUGAAAGUAGUAGAGAUACUAUGUUCCUUCGGGACAACUGCGCAGGUGCUGCAUGGCUGUCGUCAGCUCGUGCCGUGAGGUGUUGGGUUAAGUCCCGCAACGAGCGCAACCCUUGUCGUUAGUUGCCAGCGAGUAAUGUCGGGAACUCUAACGAGACUGCCUGGGUUAACCAGGAGGAAGGUGAGGAUGACGUCAAGUCCGCAUGGCCUAUAUGUCCAGGGCUACACACGUGCUACAAUGGCCGGUACAGAAGGCAGCGAUAUCGCAAGGUGGAGCAAAUCCUUAAAGCCGGUCCCAGUUCAGAUUGGAGUCUGCAACUCGACUCCAUGAAGAUGGAAUUGCUAGUAAUGGCGAGUCAGCAACAUCGCCGUGAAUACGUUCCCGGGUCUUGUACAC
This 1400-nucleotide ribosomal RNA is filed under the name metagenome. RNAcentral describes it as "bacterial SSU rRNA". It matches the Rfam family "Bacterial small subunit ribosomal RNA". The record is from RNAcentral.